UAAAAAAAUUAAAUAAAUGUAUUGUUUUUGGUGCGUUUGGAUUUUCGUAAAAAUAGAGCGAAAAUACUUUUCGUACUGAAAUGCAAUUUUCGUUCGUUUGUUUACCAAUAAAAGCCCUUUCUUCGUAAGACAAUUUUAUAGAUGGAUAAGAAUGCAAUUUUAAUUGAUAUUUGUUCAUAGAAUUAGAUUUAUAGAUGGAUAAGAAUGCUAUUUUUUAACAGAUUAAUCAUAACCGUUCAUUCUUAUUUGAGAUUUUUUUUAAUUAAGUGAUCAUACCUGUUGGUAGAAAAUAUAGAAAAUAUUUUUUAUUCCNUAUAGAUGGAUAAGAAUGCAAUUUUAAUUGAUAUUUGUUCAUAGAAUUAGAUUUAUAGAUGGAUAAGAAUGCUAUUUUUUAACAGAUUAAUCAUAACCGUUCAUUCUUAUUUGAGAUUUUUUUUAAUUAAGUGAUCAUACCUGUUGGUAGAAAAUAUAGAAAAUAUUUUUUAUUCCUUUUUGGAUUCCUUUAUAGAUGGAUAAGAAUAUUAUUUUUUAACAGAUUAAUUAUAACCGUUCAUUUUUAUUUGAGAUUUUUUUUUUUAUUAACGGAUCAUACCUGCUAGUACCUAUUCGUAGGAAAUAUAUAGAAUAUUAUUUUAUUCUUUUUUCGAUUCUGUCUGUCAUUGUCAGAAUUUCUAUACACUUUUAUAUAUAGUAUAGAUAUAGAUAUAUAUGGCUAAAUUGCAGAAAACUCCCUUGUCAAUACCCGCUUUUUUACUUUUCCCCCCUGUCAUUUAAAAACCUACACUUUGCCCCCUUGAAAAAUGAGAAAUGUUUACAAAGGGGUAAACCGUGACAAAAUGAUCAAAAUGUCGUUACCAUCUUCGUUUUCUGCCCUAACCUCUCUCAGCCGUCGCCCCUCCUCUUCCGUUCUUCGCGCCUUGCUCAACCACAGCUCCGACUCUAUUUUCCUCCACAUGCUCGCUCGCUCUUCCUGCACUCGCGUUGCCCCCCAUUUC
Molecule: long non-coding RNA, 995 nt
Filed under: Ananas comosus (pineapple)
Lineage: Eukaryota; Viridiplantae; Streptophyta; Magnoliopsida; Poales; Bromeliaceae
Description: long non-coding RNA (ACOM_LNC024087)
Source: RNAcentral